GACGAACGCUGGCGGCGUGCCUAAUACAUGCAAGUCGAACGCAGUGGGGACGGGUGAGUAACCCGUGGGUAACCUCCCAUCAGUGGGGAUAACACUUGGAAACAGGUGCUACACCGAUACUGAUGGAUGGACCCGCGGGGCAUUAGCUAGUUGGUGAGGUAACGGCUCACCAAGGCCACGAUUCAUAGCGGACCUGAGAGGAGGAGCAGCCACACUGGGACUGAGACACGGCCCAGACUCCUACGGGAGGCAGCAGGGGGGAAUAUUGCACAAUGGGCGCAAGCCUGAUGCAGCCAUGCCGCGUGUAUGAAGAAGGCCUUCGGGUUGUAAAGUACUUUUGGUAGGGAGGCGUUACCGGCAGAAGAAGCACCGGCUAACUCCGUGCCAGCAGCCGCGGUAAUAC
Molecule: ribosomal RNA, 403 nt
Filed under: uncultured bacterium
Lineage: Bacteria
Description: partial 16S ribosomal RNA
Rfam family: Bacterial small subunit ribosomal RNA
Source: RNAcentral